UGGGGAAUAUUGCGCAAUGGGGGAAACCCUGACGCAGCAACGCCGCGUGAAGGAUGAAGGUUUUCGGAUUGUAAACUUCUUUGAUGAGGGACGAAACAAAUGACGGUACCUCAAAAACAAGCCACGGCUAACUACGUGCCAGCAGCCGCGGUAAUACGUAGGUGGCGAGCGUUGUCCGGAAUUACUGGGUGUAAAGGGCGUGUAGGCGGGGAUGUAAGUCAGAUGUGAAAUACCGAGGCUUAACUUCGGGGCUGCAUCUGAAACUACGUUUCUUGAGGGUCGGAGAGGACAGCGGAAUUCCUAGUGUUGCGGUGAAAUGCGUAGAUAUUGGGAGGAACACCAGUGGCUAAGGCGGCUUUCUGGACGAUAACUGACGCUGAGGCGCGAAAGCGUGGGGAGCAAACA
Molecule: ribosomal RNA, 405 nt
Filed under: uncultured bacterium
Lineage: Bacteria
Description: bacterial SSU rRNA
Rfam family: Bacterial small subunit ribosomal RNA
Source: RNAcentral